Molecule: unclassified non-coding RNA, 148 nt
Filed under: soil metagenome
Description: partial internal transcribed spacer 1
Source: RNAcentral
UUAAUAAGUGUUUUAUGGCUACUUUUUAAAUCCAUAUCCACCUUGUGUGCAAUGUCAGUCGAUCUUCUUUAUGGAGGAUCGACCAAACAUCAACCUUUAUCUUUUAACUCUUUGUCUGAAAAAUAUUAUGAAUAAACAAUUCAAAAUA